This 253-nucleotide ribosomal RNA is filed under the name uncultured bacterium. Its description in RNAcentral is "partial 16S ribosomal RNA". It matches the Rfam family "Bacterial small subunit ribosomal RNA", at positions 524 to 776 of the family's 1533-position model. The record is from RNAcentral.
UACAGAGGUCCCAAGCGUUGUUCGGAUUCACUGGGCGUAAAGGGUGCGUAGGUGGUCGGGUAAGUCUGAUGUGAAAUCUCUGGGCUCAACCCAGAAAUGGCAUUGGAUACUAUUCGGCUAGAGGAGUGGAGGGGGGACUGGAAUACUUGGUGUAGCAGUGAAAUGCGUAGACAUCAAGUGGAACACCAGUGGCGAAGGCGAGUCCCUGGACACUUCCUGACACUGAGGCACGAAAGCUAGGGGAGCAAACAGG